RNAcentral lists this ribosomal RNA (1005 nucleotides) under Leifsonia sp. RNAcentral describes it as "bacterial SSU rRNA". It matches the Rfam family "Bacterial small subunit ribosomal RNA", at positions 58 to 1072 of the family's 1533-position model. The record is from RNAcentral. Lineage: Bacteria; Bacillati; Actinomycetota; Actinomycetes; Micrococcales; Microbacteriaceae.
CAAGUCGAACGAUGAACCUGGAGCUUGCUCUGGGGGAUUAGUGGCGAACGGGUGAGUAACACGUGAGUAACCUGCCCUUGACUCUGGGAUAACCUCCGGAAACGGAAGCUAAUACCGGAUAUGACGUACGGAGGCAUCUCCUGUGCGUGGAAAGAAUUUCUGGUCAAGGAUGGACUCGCGGCCUAUCAGGUAGUUGGUGAGGUAACGGCUCACCAAGCCUACGACGGGUAGCCGGCCUGAGAGGGUGACCGGCCACACUGGGACUGAGACACGGCCCAGACUCCUACGGGAGGCAGCAGUGGGGAAUAUUGCACAAUGGGCGCAAGCCUGAUGCAGCAACGCCGCGUGAGGGACGACGGCCUUCGGGUUGUAAACCUCUUUUAGUAGGGAAGAAGCGAAAGUGACGGUACCUGCAGAAAAAGCACCGGCUAACUACGUGCCAGCAGCCGCGGUAAUACGUAGGGUGCAAGCGUUGUCCGGAAUUAUUGGGCGUAAAGAGCUCGUAGGCGGUUUGUCGCGUCUGCUGUGAAAACCCGAGGCUCAACCUCGGGCCUGCAGUGGGUACGGGCAGACUAGAGUGCGGUAGGGGAGAAUGGAAUUCCUGGUGUAGCGGUGGAAUGCGCAGAUAUCAGGAGGAACACCGAUGGCGAAGGCAGUUCUCUGGGCCGUAACUGACGCUGAGGAGCGAAAGCGUGGGGAGCGAACAGGAUUAGAUACCCUGGUAGUCCACGCCGUAAACGUUGGGCGCUAGAUGUGUGGACCAUUCCACGGUUUCCGUGUCGCAGCUAACGCAUUAAGCGCCCCGCCUGGGGAGUACGGCCGCAAGGCUAAAACUCAUAGGAAUUGACGGGGGCCCGCACAAGCGGCGGAGCAUGCGGAUUAAUUCGAUGCAACGCGAAGAACCUUACAAGGCUUGACAUAUACGAGAACGGGCCAGAUAUUGGUCAACUCUUUGGACACUCGUAAACAGGUGGUGCAUGGUUGUCGUCAGCUCGUGUCGUGAGA